Molecule: transfer RNA, 51 nt
Filed under: Eriosema sp. Liben 3673
Lineage: Eukaryota; Viridiplantae; Streptophyta; Magnoliopsida; Fabales; Fabaceae
Description: partial tRNA-Gln
Source: RNAcentral
GGCAACGGGUUUUGGUCCCGCUAUUUGGAGGUUUGAAUCCUUUCGUUCCCG